RNAcentral lists this ribosomal RNA (459 nucleotides) under uncultured Fusarium. RNAcentral describes it as "SSU rRNA". It matches the Rfam family "Eukaryotic small subunit ribosomal RNA", at positions 624 to 1088 of the family's 1831-position model. Lineage: Eukaryota; Fungi; Ascomycota; Sordariomycetes; Hypocreales; Nectriaceae. The record is from RNAcentral.
AAGCUCGUAGUUGAACCUUGGGCCUGGCUGGCCGGUCCGCCUCACCGCGUGUACUGGUCCGGCCGGGCCUUUCCCUCUGUGGAACCCCAUGCCCUUCACUGGGUGUGGCGGGGAAACAGGACUUUUACUGUGAAAAAAUUAGAGUGCUCCAGGCAGGCCUAUGCUCGAAUACAUUAGCAUGGAAUAAUAGAAUAGGACGUGUGGUUCUAUUUUGUUGGUUUCUAGGACCGCCGUAAUGAUUAAUAGGGAUAGUCGGGGGCAUCAGUAUUCAAUUGUCAGAGGUGAAAUUCUUGGAUUAAUUGAAGACUAACUACUGCGAAAGCAUUUGCCAAGGAUGUUUUCAUUAAUCAGUGAACGAAAGUUAGGGGAUCGAAGACGAUCAGAUACCGUCGUAGUCUUAACCAUAAACUAUGCCGACUAGGGAUCGGACGGGCUUCUUUUUUGACCCGUUCGGCACCU